GGUGCUCUUUUGUGUUGUGCUGGUUGUGGAUUGGGUUUUCUGCCGCAAGUCCUAUAGUGCUGCUCUCAGGAAUGAAAUCUGCACUAACCUGCCACGUGAAGGCGUAUGUCGUAAAAGUAAUACGUAUGCUUUCCAUAUAAAUACUCGAAGAUGCGUACACAUAGAGCCGAAUCUUGGGCCGUGCGGUUUCUUUCGCAACCAGACUAGUUGCGAGUUGUUUUGUCAAAAGGCACAUCUUAAUAACGGCCCUUUGCAUAAUCACCAACCACGUACUGGUGGCCAGAGAUUAAAAUUAAAUUAACGCAUGGAUACAUUAAUGGGUAGGAGAGAAUCUUAAACAGAUGAGAUCUAGUAUAUAUAGUAAAAGGCACUCUCAUCGCCUGAAACAAAAUUGUUCAAUGGCAAAGAUCUUGCAGCGAUAUAUAAAAUUUCAAAUAAAAUAAAUAUACUUAUUUAUAGAUUA
Molecule: long non-coding RNA, 463 nt
Organism: Scaptodrosophila lebanonensis
Lineage: Eukaryota; Metazoa; Arthropoda; Insecta; Diptera; Drosophilidae
Exons: 2
Source: RefSeq, a predicted model, not a curated record